This 914-nucleotide ribosomal RNA is filed under the name uncultured bacterium. RNAcentral describes it as "bacterial SSU rRNA". It matches the Rfam family "Bacterial small subunit ribosomal RNA", at positions 57 to 965 of the family's 1533-position model. The record is from RNAcentral.
GCAAGUCGAACGAGGAAUUACUUAGCUUGCUUUGUAAUUCCUAGUGGCGGACGGGUGAGUAACACGUGAGUAAUCUGCCCAAAAGUGGGGGAUAGCCCGAGGAAACUCGGAUUAAUACCGCAUAUGAUCGCAAGAUUAAAGGUGGCUUCGGCUAUCGCUUUUGGAUGGGCUCGCGGCCUAUCAGCUUGUUGGUGAGGUAACGGCUCACCAAGGCUCCGACGGGUAGCUGGUCUGAGAGGACGACCAGUCACACUGGAACUGAGACACGGUCCAGACACCUACGGGUGGCAGCAGUCGAGAAUCAUUCGCAAUGGACGAAAGUCUGACGGUGCGACGCCGCGUGGAGGAUGACGGUCCUAGGAUUGUAAACUCCUGUCAUCAGGGAGUAAGGCACUUGGUAGUAACUGACUGAGUGUUUGAUAGUACCUGAAGAGGAAGAGACGGCUAACUCUGUGCCAGCAGCCGCGGUAAUACAGAGGUCUCAAGCGUUGUUCGGAAUUACUGGGCGUAAAGGGAGCGUAGGCGGCGAGGUAAGUCAGAUGUGAAAUUCCGGGGCUCAACCUCGGAACUGCAUCCGAUACUGCCUUGCUAGAGUAGUGGAGGGGCAUCUGGAAUUCACGGUGUAGCAGUGAAAUGCGUAGAUAUCGUGAGGAACACUAGUGGCGAAGGCGAGAUGCUGGACACUUACUGACGCUGAGGCUCGAAGGCCAGGGUAGCGAAAGGGAUUAGAUACCCCUGUAGUCCUGGCAGUAAACGGUGCGCGUUUGGUGUGGGAGGAUUCGACCCCUUCCGUGCCGGAGCUAACGCGUUAAACGCGCCGCCUGGGGAGUACGGCCGCAAGGCUAAAACUCAAAGAAAUUGACGGGGACCCGCACAAGCGGUGGAGUAUGUGGCUUAAUUCGAUGCAACGCGAA